GCACUACAAAUUACAGAUUUUACAUACUGAUUGAAAACUUAUAUGUACUGUAUGAAAAAUGCAAGUGAAAAUAUGCCAGGAUUUGAAUAGCAAUUCUUGGCUGGUUAUAUGUCUGCCAGCAUGUCAUGUUCUGCUAGCCUGUAAUCUGUACGAAGUAGGUUAUUGACCAACCUAAUAACUGAAGUUGUCAUGUUGUGCUUCUCAGACCUGUAAAGUCUUUGCCUGCAAUUAAUUGACACAUCUUUAAAUAGAUGCCAUUGCAUAAUGGCCUCAUGCUGAUUUGGGAGCAAAACUGACAAGGGUAAAGUCAUCAUUCAUCAGUCAUUGCGCUCUUUUGUGGCCUGGGAAACACAUACACAUCCAUAUUUUCACCUACCAACUACCAAGUCUGCAAUUAGUAAAAAUAUGAUAUGAUAUGAUUUGCUUGGCAACCAUAUGUGGUGUGCGGUUAUAAUUAGUGCAUCCUCUAUUAUCAAUUUAUCAUGUUGUAGUACAUGGCUUAUGCAAUGUUAAUGUUAAUAACUUUUUGAAGAUGGUUGUUUUGCUGAUUGAGAUAACACAUUUCAUGAAAGCGAAACUGCUGAUUUUUUUACCUAGGGUGCUUCAGAUAGUGGCAUAGUCUGGACUUGCAACUCCUCUUUUGGCUUCGUUGCAUGAUGGAGACCCUAUCAUGUCUGCGCAGGACAUCUUGAAACAUCCAAAUUGUGCUGUCACUAGAGACUUUGUAGACUGUUUAUUCUUAUUUGAAAUAGAUGACAUGUUCUGCAUCUCAAUUCAACCCUAUGCUAUAAUGGUAGCGGGACUUCCUGAUACCAAAUUGUAGUCACUAGGAAAGGCAAUAAAAAUGGGUUAGAAGUGAUAAAAACCGUCCAUUUUCUGUCUUAAGGUGUGGCAACACCCAAUAAUACUUGAGAAUCCAAUUCUUUUAUAUAACUUUUGUAUCGCUUAAAAAGCUUUAGAACUGUUUCAAUAAAAUAGAACACACUGGACUGGAUUUAAAAGCUUUAAAAGCAUGUAUGUUGAAACCUGAUGACAACUGUUUCACUGUCUCAACACUGGAUUAUUCCAUCCUUUUUCUAUAUGACAUCACUUUCUGUUUUCUGAUUUCAGUGUUAUUAGUCAUUUUGAUAUUCUGGCAGCAAUGCCUCCUUGAUGGUAGUACAUAGACAUUUAUAUUGUGCAAUGUUGGAAUUUAUUUACCAACUGAAAUGAAGUAAUUGCAACUCUCCUUACUUUGUUCUUUUGGGACCUAUCUUUUUUGUUCUUGGGUGCACUUGCCAGAUUCCAGGCUGCUCACUAGCUUUCUGCGCACGGGGUCCAGGGCUGAUAACCGGUAAUUUUGAUUUUUAGACUGGUGUUCCAUCCGAUUUGCACCAGAUGUUAUAUAAAUCAUAUUGGAGCAUAUGGGGAAUUUCAAGGUGCAGUUAAGAGGUUCCUGCUGCAAUCAACUAGUGUCCAAGAUAUCCGCAUGACAGCUUUGGUGUUGCUUGAUUUCCUGCAAUGCAAACCCUCUGUUAUCCAAUGACAGUGAUGUUCAAGUUUUUGUUGUCCAAAUUUUUCUUGCUUUGCUACUACAUUUUCAUUUUUCUUGCUUUGCUACAAAUCCUUUCCUUGCGUAAAUUUGUUGAGACCUGAUGACAGCACUUAUUCACCAGAUGCCAAUGCUUUAUCAUCGUUGAGAACAGGGAUUUGUCAAUUUUGAUCAAACUUAAAUUUGUAGGGUUCUGAGUACUUCAGAUGACAAAUGCUGUAUGCACAGAUUCUCUGUUUUUUGAUAAAUGAUCCAGUUUAGGGCCAAAAGUCCACUAGAUUGAGGUUUGUGGUGGAACCGUUGUGUUGCUUACUAGCAAAGCCAAAUAAUACAGUUUUGUUAGAAACACUUGAGCAAUUGGUGCAAGCAUAUUUAUUAUACGACACCAUUUUUUUAAAUAUACAGAGUGAUUUGUGCUGUGGAAUACCAUUGACGUUGAAGCUGAAAACUGAAACUGUAAGUCUAAUUGCUUUUAUAUUUUGUUUGACUGUCCUGGUGAAUUGCUGCAACGUGACUCCCAUAACCAAUUUUGAUGAGCUGUUUUUUUAUAAAACAAACGUGAUUCUGAAACUAUCGUUGCUGCAAGAUCGACCUGAUACACUUUAUGAUCGUUUUGAUUUGUAUCCGGCUAUUUCUGCAGGUGUUGGUAACAAGCAGACAUUGGCACAGUUUUCGUGCCUUGUGGGACAUGUCCCGCAACUCUGUUCCAGAAGCCUGGAAUAAAGCUUGCAGAGGCAUCCACAUGCCAUCUAGCAGACCAGUCUGAGAAUCUCCUGAACUAGUUGCAAAUAUUUGCCCCUCUCAAGCCUGUUGAGGAAAAUGCUGGGGGUGUGAGGCCGUUCGUGGACCAUCCAGACGGUUUCAUGGUGGCUACUUGUCACUGAAAAGAUGUUGGAAACGCGGUGCGCGAAUCAGAAUAUGUUUGCUACCUUUCAUCUUCUCAAGCUGGGGGCAAUCUGGCGAGUGUUUUCAGUGAGAUUUGCAACCUUGUAUGGUUGCAAAUUUAGGAAUAAUGCGCCGAAAAAAUGCGUGUUGUUCGUUCAUUGGCAACGCUGGUGAAGGUCGAUAAAGUGUAAUGUGCUCGUCUGGGCAGUUGAAUUAGUAACGCACAUCCAUCAAAAUAAAUAAAGGUGCCACUGUCGUCUCGAGUCUUGCAGUCUACGCCCCCCUUCUGUGUUUCCUUUUCCUGAUUCAACGAAGCACCGACAUUGUUGCUCAACUGCCAGUCUUGUCACUCUGAUCUGAUCUGAUACUUUGUUAUAAAACUUAUUUUGGGGCAUU
Long non-coding RNA from Panicum virgatum (switchgrass), 2812 nucleotides. RefSeq lists it as uncharacterized. NCBI's taxonomy places the organism in Eukaryota, Viridiplantae, Streptophyta, Magnoliopsida, Poales, Poaceae. The transcript has 2 exons. The record is from RefSeq and is a predicted model, not a curated record.